Long non-coding RNA from Cebus imitator (Panamanian white-faced capuchin), 1324 nucleotides. RefSeq lists it as uncharacterized. The transcript has 3 exons. The record is from RefSeq and is a predicted model, not a curated record. NCBI's taxonomy places the organism in Eukaryota, Metazoa, Chordata, Mammalia, Primates, Cebidae.
ACUCAGGGCCCAACGCAGCCUCUUCGCGGAGACCGAACCCAGCCCGCGAGAGGCAGGAGGGAGUCCCGCCCCUUGCCCUCCGUGUCGGCCUGUGGGAAACCACUCAUUGGCUGGAGCGUUUGUCAGCGUCUAGAGGCUUUGAACCCACCAGGCAAAGACCCAGUGCAUCUGUGCGUUGCACAGUCGCAUCUGUGAAGCCCUGCAUCUCUCCUGCCCUGCCUGCCAAGACUGAUGUGCAGCUUUUCUGCCAUCAUAUACCGAUAUAAUGUGUCCAAGAUUCAUAUAGAAUUGCAUCUGCAUGGAACUGCAAUGAACUUCUCCAUCAUCCAUCACCAUCUUCAGCAAGGUAUGGAUCUCAGCCUGGUGGUAGAAUGUGAAGGUGAGGACCUCAUCCAGGUUUCUUCUUUCCUUGGGUGCUCUGCCUUAGCCCUAGAGGCUGCUCCUUAUAUCUGUAAUUGUAUUCUUCAGAGUUUUCUUUUCCCUUUGCUAGAUAAUCAUCUCUUACCCAUAAUACAUUUUUAUAUUAAAAUUUCCUUAUUUAAAUUAUCAUGUGGUUUCUGUAUCCAGAGUAAACCCUGACCAAUACAUAGAUAUACCAAUUUGUACUUCUACCUGCAAUGUGUGAGAGUUCCAGUUCCUCCACAAUUAGUUAUUUUAAAGCCUUUGUCUACCAACCACAACAUCAGGAUGAUUUGUGUGUCUUCUUCUAUAGUCUGUUUUUCUCUUAUCAGAAUGAUAUUUUCAUAUCUCUUCACAAAUCUACUUAUUUUUUCCAUAUGUAGACAUUGUAUGUAACAGGCAUAGAGACUCUAGAUGAUAUAAUUUACCACACAAAGUGUUCCCUCUUUCUUCUGUUAAGCAGAUGGGGGUAAGGAAUGAUCACAUCAGUCCAGUGAAGGAUUGAAGUGGGUUGGGACUGGGUUUUGGUUUUGGAAUCUGUCUAUCUCCAGUUUAUCUCUGGUUUACCCCUAUGCCUGGCAUGUGGAUUUUGGGUGAGUGCCUUGCCAGGUUUCUGGAUCCACAGCCAUGAAACACUGUGAGAUUCAGCUCUGGCUUUUCAGAGGUUCCCAGUCCAGCUUCCAGAUUCUGUCUCCAUGAAGCUUCAAGAUCUGGCCAAUGUCUUGAGAUUGCAGCCCACAAUGUUUAAAAGCCACUGGACUUUAAAUGGAGUAAGAGCCAAGGGGAGAAAAACAAACAUUAUCAGAAGCAAACAUAUUAGCUGAGUAUGGACAACUUUUGGAGAAGUUUGGCUGUUAAUGGGAAGGAGAUUGAUUGGAAGCUGCUCUUCUGGCCCCAGAUAGCAAGAGUGAGCCCGUGUGAGGAA